GUCAUACCUUAUGUAACUACAGCACCGCUUCAGACCAGGAGCAUGACACUGGUAAGGGACAUUUGUGCUGUGGAUGGAGCUGUCAGGAGCCUGGUGGACAAAACAUCAUGACAAAAUGAAAGGGAAAGAUGGACUUCAAACAGCAGUCUGGAGAAAAAUUGAAUUCAACAACACUAUUUAAGAUUGCAUGCAUAGAGAGUUCCGGUCAAGAUGGUGGAGUAGACAGUUCCUAGUGUUGCUCUCUCCCACAAAGCGACCAACUUGCAACUAUUAAAAAGCAACAACAGGAGACAUGAGAUCAGUGCCAAAAUAGGCGGGAGCGGCAUGCCACAGGACCCCAUCCCAGGCCAGUGUUUGCCACCCAGAGAGGCCUGAGAGCCAUGGGGGCCACACACCCUGAGACAGCCAAUCCAGAAAAGGCAGGCACCACGAGACCU
Long non-coding RNA from Cynocephalus volans (Philippine flying lemur), 437 nucleotides. RefSeq lists it as uncharacterized. The record is from RefSeq and is a predicted model, not a curated record. Lineage: Eukaryota; Metazoa; Chordata; Mammalia; Dermoptera; Cynocephalidae. The transcript is spliced from 3 exons.